This 402-nucleotide ribosomal RNA is filed under the name uncultured bacterium. RNAcentral's name for it is "bacterial SSU rRNA". It matches the Rfam family "Bacterial small subunit ribosomal RNA", at positions 355 to 773 of the family's 1533-position model. The record is from RNAcentral.
UGAGGAAUUUUCCACAAUGGGGGCAACCCUGAUGGAGCAACGCCGCGUGCAGGAAGACGCUUUUCGGAGUGUAAACUGCUUUUCCCAGGGACGAGCAAGGACGGUACCUGGGGAACAAGCCCCGGCUAACUACGUGCCAGCAGCCGCGGUAAUACGUAGGGGACGAGCGUUGUCCGGAGUUACUGGGCGUAAAGGGCCCGCAGGCGGUCCACCACGUUUGCGCUGACAGCUCCUGGCUUAACUGGGAGAGCGGUGCGAAGACGGGUGGACUUGAGGACCAGAGAGGGACAAGGAACUCCGGGUGUAGUGGUGAAAUGCGUAGAUAUCCGGAAGAACACCAAAGGCGAAGGCAGUGUCCUGGCUAGUAGCUGACGCUGAGGGGCGAAAGCUAGGGGAGCGAAC